GUCUCAAAGAUUAAGCCAUGCAUG
Molecule: non-coding RNA, 24 nt
Filed under: Drosophila melanogaster (fruit fly)
Lineage: Eukaryota; Metazoa; Arthropoda; Insecta; Diptera; Drosophilidae
Also listed under: 3 other names
Source: RNAcentral